UGAUAAACCUUAGCUGUGUGCACAGC
RNAcentral lists this non-coding RNA (26 nucleotides) under Homo sapiens (human). Lineage: Eukaryota; Metazoa; Chordata; Mammalia; Primates; Hominidae. The record is from RNAcentral.